AGAGAGAGAGAGAAAAGAAAAAAAAAAAGAAUUAAAGAAAUCAUGCAGCAGGGGGCCAGUGCUCAUGGUCAAGGGAUGUAUCACGAGCAGCUAGAGGUAAUUGCCACAUUGGCAUCAGACCAUAGCUCGGAAAAACAGCCAUCUUGUUCACUCCAGCAUGAUAGGCUGCUGGAUGCGCUGGCAUGAAUCCAGAAGAUGGAACAGCCAUAACCUUCAAUUGUUGCUCCAUCCUUUCUUUAUCUGCCUUCAGUGUGAGUUUCUCUUCACGAAGUUCAUUCUUCUCAGCCUUCAAAGUUUUUAUUUCUUCCCGUAGCUUUUCAUUUGUUUCUUUGAGCUCCUGAGCUUCAGUUUUCAAUCGAGUUAGAAUUCUAAUAGCAUCAUCAAGUAUUGCAGCUUUGUCAGUUCUAGCAGGUCUCCCAGGCUCCAAAACAGAGCUCAGAUCCUGGAACCUGUCAUUUAACUUCUCCCUCCUCAACUUCUCACGGCAAGCUUUGGUCACUGGCUUGCUGCAAGAAUCACUGCAUCCCCUCUUUCGUGAGCAUUGUUUUUCUUGCGAUGCAGCACCACCAGAUGAAAAAGCAAUAUCCAGACCAACACUGCAAACAUCAGCGAAUCAGAUCAAAUAAAAAAACAAAUCAUAAUCACCCAGCUAAUACUGAAAAGCACAAUGGACAAAAAUGUCAUAUAUCGUUGCUUGCAAGCAGAUCAUAUAUCAUAAAUUUCUAAACUUUUUGAUAUUUCUGCUCUUUCUUCUUCAAUUAUGUGAAGUGAAAACCACAAUAGAAUCCGGUAAAAGAAAAUUAAUGCACAAAAAACUAGAUCGAUGGAUUAAUUUACAUGCAACAAAAAUCAAUGAUAAAUGAAAUCGUAUAAGUAAAUCCAUG
RNAcentral lists this unclassified non-coding RNA (884 nucleotides) under Hevea brasiliensis (rubber tree). Lineage: Eukaryota; Viridiplantae; Streptophyta; Magnoliopsida; Malpighiales; Euphorbiaceae. The record is from RNAcentral.